GAGGGUCAGUAAGGCAGGGAGAGGACCAACACAAUGGCACUGAUCCUCAAGAAAAUCAUUCUCAGCUUCUAAAGUUAUAAUAAUUCUCAGCUAAAGGAAGCAUACUGAACACAAUGUUGUAGAUGCAGCACUGAGGUGGCAUCUACAAGACCAUUCUCAGCUACCAGUAGGAGACUGCUAUUUAGGUAAGUAGGAAAAUUUGUUUAAAGUUGGCAACUAAAAAGCUCAGGGAGUUGUAGGGUAUCAGAGGGUUUCUUUUUUCCUUUUCUUCAGUUUCUAAGAGGAAUACUGGGCCAGGACAGUCUUGUCUGGGUAGGCUAUUAAUACAGUUUGGAUGUGUGUCCCUGCCCAACUCUCAUACUGAAAUGUAACCCCCAGUGUUGGAAGUGGGCUUGGUGAGAGGUGAUUGUAUCAUGAGGGUGAAUUUCUCGUGAAUGGUUUAGCACCAUCCCUUUUGCUACUGUCCCACCAAGUGAUAGUGAUGGUGAGUGAGUUCUCAUGAAUUCUGGCUGUUUAAAAGUGCGUAGCGCCUCCCGUCUCUCUGUCUUGC
RNAcentral lists this long non-coding RNA (550 nucleotides) under Homo sapiens (human). RNAcentral's name for it is "HSALNT0301854". The record is from RNAcentral. Lineage: Eukaryota; Metazoa; Chordata; Mammalia; Primates; Hominidae.